GGCCCGAUGGGUUUUCUNAUNGGAAUGAGAACACNGUAAACAGCUUAUCGAGGAGCCAGCAGAGGGCAAGUCUGGUGCCAGCAGCCGCGGUAAUUCCAGCUCUGUAAGCGUAUACCCAAGUUGUUGCAGUUAAAACGCUCGUAGUCGGAGGUUGGCGGGCGAGACGGGGCGUCUUCGCGGACGGACCUGGGUCGGCCGCCUUUGUGGAGGGGGGCACGGAUCAGCUUGAGUGCGGGCUCGUUGUCGCUGCCACCGUUUACUGUGAAAAAAUUAGAGUGUUCAAAGCGGGCGUUUGCCAUGAAUACCUUAGCAUGGAAUAAUAGAAUAGGACCUGUGUUCUGUUUUAUUGGUUUGUGAGGACCGGGUAAUGAUUAAGAGGGACGGUUGGGGGCAUUUGUAUUCCGGCGUCAGAGGUGAAAUUCUUGGAU
Molecule: ribosomal RNA, 428 nt
Filed under: Peyssonnelia sp.
Lineage: Eukaryota; Rhodophyta; Florideophyceae; Peyssonneliales; Peyssonneliaceae
Description: SSU rRNA
Rfam family: Eukaryotic small subunit ribosomal RNA
Source: RNAcentral